RNAcentral lists this ribosomal RNA (1491 nucleotides) under Klebsiella pneumoniae. RNAcentral's name for it is "partial 23S ribosomal RNA". It matches the Rfam family "Bacterial large subunit ribosomal RNA", at positions 1 to 1530 of the family's 2925-position model. The record is from RNAcentral. Lineage: Bacteria; Pseudomonadati; Pseudomonadota; Gammaproteobacteria; Enterobacterales; Enterobacteriaceae.
GGGUUGUGAGGUUAAGCGACUAAGCGUACACGGUGGAUGCCCUGGCAGUCAGAGGCGAUGAAGGACGUGCUAAUCUGCGAAAAGCGUCGGUAAGGUGAUAUGAACCGUUACAGCCGGCGAUGUCCGAAUGGGGAAACCCAGUGCAAUUCGUUGCACUAUCGUUAACUGAAUACAUAGGUUAACGAGGCGAACCGGGGGAACUGAAACAUCUAAGUACCCCGAGGAAAAGAAAUCAACCGAGAUUCCCCCAGUAGCGGCGAGCGAACGGGGAGCAGCCCAGAGUCUGAAUCAGCUUGUGUGUUAGUGGAACGGUCUGGAAAGUCCGACGGUACAGGGUGAUAGUCCCGUACACCAAAAUGCACAGGCUGUGAACUCGAAGAGUAGGGCGGGACACGUGGUAUCCUGUCUGAAUAUGGGGGGACCAUCCUCCAAGGCUAAAUACUCCUGACUGACCGAUAGUGAACCAGUACCGUGAGGGAAAGGCGAAAAGAACCCCGGCGAGGGGAGUGAAAAAGAACCUGAAACCGUGUACGUACAAGCAGUGGGAGCACCUUCGGGUGUGACUGCGUACCUUUUGUAUAAUGGGUCAGCGACUUAUAUUCUGUAGCAAGGUUAACCGUAUAGGGGAGCCGCAGGGAAACCGAGUCUUAACUGGGCGUUAAGUUGCAGGGUAUAGACCCGAAACCCGGUGAUCUAGCCAUGGGCAGGUUGAAGGUUGGGUAACACUAACUGGAGGACCGAACCGACUAAUGUUGAAAAAUUAGCGGAUGACUUGUGGCUGGGGGUGAAAGGCCAAUCAAACCGGGAGAUAGCUGGUUCUCCCCGAAAGCUAUUUAGGUAGCGCCUCGUGAACUCAUCUUCGGGGGUAGAGCACUGUUUCGGCUAGGGGGUCAUCCCGACUUACCAACCCGAUGCAAACUACGAAUACCGAAGAAUGUUAUCACGGGAGACACACGGCGGGUGCUAACGUCCGUCGUGAAGAGGGAAACAACCCAGACCGCCAGCUAAGGUCCCAAAGUCAUGGUUAAGUGGGAAACGAUGUGGGAAGGCACAGACAGCCAGGAUGUUGGCUUAGAAGCAGCCAUCAUUUAAAGAAAGCGUAAUAGCUCACUGGUCGAGUCGGCCUGCGCGGAAGAUGUAACGGGGCUAAACCAUGCACCGAAGCUGCGGCAGCGACACUAUGUGUUGUUGGGUAGGGGAGCGUUCUGUAAGCCUGCGAAGGUGUGCUGUGAGGCAUGCUGGAGGUAUCAGAAGUGCGAAUGCUGACAUAAGUAACGAUAAAGCGGGUGAAAAGCCCGCUCGCCGGAAGACCAAGGGUUCCUGUCCAACGUUAAUCGGGGCAGGGUGAGUCGACCCCUAAGGCGAGGCCGAAAGGCGUAGUCGAUGGGAAACAGGUUAAUAUUCCUGUACUUGGUGUUACUGCGAAGGGGGGACGGAGAAGGCUAUGUUAGCCGGGCGACGGUUGUCCCGGUUUAAGCAUGUAGGCUGGUU